Molecule: non-coding RNA, 191 nt
Filed under: Mycoplasmatota bacterium
Lineage: Bacteria; Bacillati; Mycoplasmatota
Description: Tenericutes bacterium T-box sequence
Rfam family: T-box leader
About the family: Uncharged tRNA acts as the effector for transcription antitermination of genes in the T-box leader family. T-boxes are found upstream of many aminoacyl-tRNA synthetase genes and some amino acid biosynthetic genes usually in Gram-positive bacteria.
Source: RNAcentral
AAUAAAUCGAAGACGAAGACUAGUAGUAAUACAAACUUUUUUAGAGAGUUUGGACGUGGUGAAACCAGAUAUUGUUAGUAUUAUGAAGCUCCUUCUGAGUGAUGUAAAAAACAUUCGUAUACUCGCGUUAAGAGUUUAAGCGCUAGCAAUGCUAGAAGUAAGGUGGUACCACGGUUAUUUUCGUCCUUUAU